This 465-nucleotide ribosomal RNA is filed under the name Vreelandella stevensii. RNAcentral describes it as "partial 16S ribosomal RNA". It matches the Rfam family "Bacterial small subunit ribosomal RNA", at positions 338 to 795 of the family's 1533-position model. Lineage: Bacteria; Pseudomonadati; Pseudomonadota; Gammaproteobacteria; Oceanospirillales; Halomonadaceae. The record is from RNAcentral.
CCUACGGGCGGCAGCAGUGGGGAAUAUUGGACAAUAGGGGGAACCCUGAUCCAGCCAUGCCGCGUGUGUGAAGAAGGCCCUCGGGUUGUAAAGCACUUUCAGUGAGGAAGAACGCCUGGUGGUUAAUACCCAUCAGGAAAGACAUCACUCACAGAAGAAGCACCGGCUAACUCCGUGCCAGCAGCCGCGGUAAUACGGAGGGUGCGAGCGUUAAUCGGAAUUACUGGGCGUAAAGCGCGCGUAGGUGGCUUGAUAAGCCGGUUGUGAAAGCCCCGGGCUCAACCUGGGAACGGCAUCCGGAACUGUCAAGCUAGAGUGCAGGAGAGGAAGGUAGAAUUCCCGGUGUAGCGGUGAAAUGCGUAGAGAUCGGGAGGAAUACCAGUGGCGAAGGCGGCCUUCUGGACUGACACUGACACUGAGGUGCGAAAGCGUGGGUAGCAAACAGGAUUAGAUACCCUGGUAGUC